AUUGAACGCUGGCGGCAGGCCUAACACAUGCAAGUCGAACGAGUGGCGGACGGGUGAGUAAUGUCUGGGAAACUGCCUGAUGGAGGGGGAUAACUACUGGAAACGGUAGCUAAUACCGCAUACCAUCAAAUGUGCCCAGAUGGGAUUAGCUGGUUGGUGGGGUAACGGCUCACCAAGGCGACGAGCCCGAGCGGGUCUGAGAGGAGGACCAGCAACACUGGAACUGAGAAACGGUCCAGACUCCUACGGGAGGCAGCAGGGGGGAAUAUUGCAGAAUGGUCGCAAGCCUGAGGCAGCCAGGCCGCGUGUAUGAAGAAGGCCUUCGGGUUGUAAAGUACUUUCAGCGGUGAGGCGUUACCCGCAGAAGAAGCACCGGCUAACUCCGUGCCAGCCGCCGCGUAAUAC
Molecule: ribosomal RNA, 405 nt
Filed under: uncultured bacterium
Lineage: Bacteria
Description: partial 16S ribosomal RNA
Rfam family: Bacterial small subunit ribosomal RNA
Source: RNAcentral